GGAAAUUGAGGCCUUUUAAAAGAAUGCCACUGCAAUUGUGGGGAGAAUCUAGGUCUCCACAAUCUAACUCACUUCUCAGUCCCUUCCUGUUAGGGUCUCAGUCUCGCCUAGGCUGGAGUGCAGUGGUACAAACAAGGCUCACUGCAAUGUUGACCUUCUGGGCUCAAGUGAUCCUGCCACCUCAGCCUCCCAAGUAGCUGGAACUACUGACACUCACCACCAUCCCUGGCUAAUUUUUUUAUUGGCUCUCACUAUGUUACCCAGGAGUGAUCCUCCCAUCUUGGCCUUCCAAAAUGUUGGGAUCUAUUGAUUUUUAAUUUCACUCUAAUUUUCCUUGUGAUUUCUUCUUUGACUCAUUGGCUAUAUAGAGGGUAUUGAUUAAUUUCCACAUUUUGUUCAUAUCCCCAAAUUUCUCCAUUAUUGAUUUCUGAUUUGAUUCCAUUGUGGUUGAUAAAUAUACUUUGUAUGAUUUCAAUCAUUUUAUAUUUAUUGAGGUUGUUUUAUGGCAUAAAAUAGUCUAUCCUGAAGACUGUUCCUUUGUACUUGAGAAGAACAUGUAUUCUUCUGCUGUCAGGAGGACUGUUCUCCAGAUAUUUGUUAAGUAUUGUUGGUGUAUAGUGUUACUCAAGUCUUCUAUAUACUUAUUAAUCUUCUGUCUAGUCAUUAUGGAUAGUCAGUUGUUUGAAUUUCAAACUAUUAUUUUUGAAUUGUCUAUUUCUUUUUUCAGUUCUGUCCAUUUUUGCUUCAGGUAUUUUGGGGCAUUAUGAUUAAAUGUAUACAUGUUUUUAACUCUUACAUCUUUAUGAUGAAUUGGCAUGUUUUAUCAUUAUGAAAUAUGGCUUUUCUUCUCUGAUAGUGUUUCUUGUAUUAAAGUCUAUUUUAAAUAAUGUUAAUACAGCUACUUCAGCUGUCAUAGAGUUACUGAUUUCAUACUUUACCUUUUUUACAUCAUUUUGCUUUUUAUUUAUUUAUGUAUUUGAAUAUAAUGUGUGUCUAUUAUAGACAGUGUAUACUUGGGUCUUGUUUCUAUCAAAUCUGACAAUCCUUUCCUUUUAUGUGUUGUGCUUGGUUUAUUUGCUUUUCAUGUAUUAAGUAUUGCUACAGUUGGAUUUAUGCCUGUCAUUUUUCUAUUUGCUUUCUAUUUAUUUAUUUAUUGCUGUAGAGUCUUGCUCUGUCUCCAAAGCUGGAGCGCAGUGGUGUGAUCAUAGCUCACUGUAGCCUUGACCUCAGAGGCUCAAGAAAUCCUCUUGCCUUAGCUUCAUCAGUAGCUGGGACUACAGGUGCCUAUCAUGAUGCCUUGCCAAAUUUCUACUUUUUGUAGAGAUGGGGGUCUCACUGUGUUGCUCAGGCUGAUCUUGAACUCCUGGGCUCAAGACUUCCUCCUACCUUGGCCUUCCAAGUUGCUAAGAUUACAGGUGUGAGCCGCUGCAACCAGGCUCAUUUUAAAUAUAUUCCUCUGUUUCUCAUUUACUGUUAUAUUUUGUGAUAUAUAAAUGGUUUUUCUAAUCUAUCAUUUUAAUUCCUCUGUUGUUUGUGUUAAUAUUAUUUCUUAGUGGUUGCUACAAUAAUUACAAUAUGCAUCUCAUCUAAUCAUAAUCCAUUUAAGAAUAGUACCAACUUAAUUCCAGUAAAAUAUAAUAUCUUUAUUUACUUACAUACCCUUUUCUUCUUCUCUUUACUUUGUGCGAUUACUUCACCAAAUAUGUUAUAAAUCCAACACUAUAAUAUUAUAAUUAUGUU
This 1740-nucleotide long non-coding RNA is filed under the name Homo sapiens (human). RNAcentral's name for it is "HSALNT0250407". Lineage: Eukaryota; Metazoa; Chordata; Mammalia; Primates; Hominidae. The record is from RNAcentral.